Molecule: long non-coding RNA, 627 nt
Organism: Ornithodoros turicata
Lineage: Eukaryota; Metazoa; Arthropoda; Arachnida; Ixodida; Argasidae
Exons: 2
Source: RefSeq, a predicted model, not a curated record
CCUAUAUAACCCGCAGCGAAACCAGCGCAAAAGGGAGAGCCAUCCUGACGACUGCUAUGAGCCUCAUCUACGCAGCCGGCGGGUGCCUUUGGCAGGCGAGAGGUUACACCUGUGGUCUAAUGCAGGGAAUUGCGAUAGGAAUUCCAGCUCCUUCCACAGUGCCGUGGACGUACCUGCGACCCAGGACCUGCUACAGCAGAUAAGCUACUGUCCUAACAGCCUCGGAAACCCCGCCACGCCUAUACUUGACGGUACCCAUGCUUUCCAGCCACACCGACCCUUCCUCGGAGCACUUCAUCAACGACAUGAACGCUUGCCAAGCCGCUGUCAGAGCCAAAGAGGAGGUCGUCCUACGUACUGCCCCUGGAUGACUCUUUCCGCUGACAUCUUGCACUUGCCAGACAUUACAAUAGGUGGAAGGGUGUGCUGUAAUGGCAAGGUACCAAUGCUAAUAGCCCUCUCCCCCCCUCAAGACACAUAAUCCCUCUUUUGUACUUGCUUGUUCAGCCUUAACGCUACACGGGUGAGAAAAAGUGCAUCUUAAGAACUGUUCUUGGCUCCUGACUGAUUAUGAUGCAGUGGUCUUUUGUAGGGUACGGCAGUGUAUGAAAUAAACUGGUUCUGAGA